This 503-nucleotide ribosomal RNA is filed under the name uncultured bacterium. RNAcentral describes it as "partial 16S ribosomal RNA". It matches the Rfam family "Bacterial small subunit ribosomal RNA", at positions 30 to 523 of the family's 1533-position model. The record is from RNAcentral.
AUUGAACGCUGGCGGCAGGCUUAACACAUGCAAGUCGAGCGGGGUGAUGGUGCUUGCACUAUCACUUAGCGGCGGACGGGUGAGUAAUGCUUAGGAAUCUGCCUAUUAGUGGGGGACAACAUCUCGAAAGGGAUGCUAAUACCGCAUACGUCCUACGGGAGAAAGCAGGGGAUCACUUGUGACCUUGCGCUAAUAGAUGAGCCUAAGUCGGAUUAGCUAGUUGGUGGGGUAAAGGCCUACCAAGGCGACGAUCUGUAGCGGGUCUGAGAGGAUGAUCCGCAACACUGGGACUGAGACACGGCCCAGACUCCUACGGGCGGCAGCAGUGGGGAAUAGUGGACAAUGGGGGGGACCCUGAUCCAGCCAUGCCGCGUGUGUGAAGAAGGCCUUAUGGUUGUAAAGCACUUUAAGCGAGGAGGAGGCUCUUUUGGUUAAUACCCAAGAUGAGUGGACGUUACUCGCAGAAUAAGCACCGGCUAACUCUGUGCCAGCCGCCGCCGUAA